GUCUGUCCAACCAAACCCAAUUUGCCCACUAUAAGCUGGUUAAGGAGUGGUAGAGAGAUAAUCCUGAAGGGCUGGUGAUGCCACUAUACGACUCUAAGAUGCAUUACUGAUUAACAAAACACACCCUCUCUCACACUCAGCAGAUGAGUGUACUACAGAGACCACUGAUGAAAAUUCCCUGUGUGUGUGCAUUUUUUUUUGUGUAUCCGUCUGAAUGGGCUUUUGUCUAUUCACUAAGUGAUUUGACUUUCUCUGUCUCUUCCCUUGUAUUGUCCUUCAUUCACCAUAAUACUGUCUAUUCCCUUGUAUUGUCCUUCAUUCACCAUAAUACUGUCUAUUCCCCAGUUGUCCUUCAUUCACCAUAAGACUGUCUAUUCCCCAGUUGUCCUUAAUUCACCAUAAUACUGUCUAUUCCCCAGUUAUCCUUAAUUCACCAUAAUACUGUCUAUUCCCCAGUUGUCCUUAAUUCACCAUACGACUGACUGACUUAUCAAUGACCCAAGACCAGCUCAGUAAAUCCCUACCAUUGUGUCGCUGAGUUGUCAUAACGCUGCAGAAAAUGUACAUUAUCCCAGGGGUGUUGGCAGACACAAUAGUCCUUGUCACGACGGUUGAAAGGAGAGGACCAAGGUGCAGCGUGGACCUGAGCCCUAGGACCAUGCCUCAGGACUACCUGGCUUGAUGACUACUUGCUGUACCCAGUUCACCUGGCCGUGCUGCUGCUCCAGUUCCAACUGUUCUGCCUGCGGCUAUGGAACCCUGACCUGUUCACCGGACGUGCUACCUGUCCCAGACCUGCUGUCCCAGACCUGCUGGAACCCUGACCUGUUCACCGGACGUGCUACCUGUCCCAGACCUGCUGUUUUCAACUCUCUAGAGACAGCAGGAGCGGUAGAGAUACUCUCAAAGAUCGGCUAUGAAAAAGCCAACUGACACUUACUCUUGUGUUACUGACUUGUUGCACCCUCGACAACUACUAUGAUUAUUAUUAUUUGACCAUGCUGGUCAUUUAUGAACAUUUGAACAUCUUGGCCAUGUGCUGUUAUAAUCUCCACCCAGCACAGCCAGAAGAGGACUCGCCACCCCUCAUAGUCUGGUUCCUCUCUAGGUUUCUUCCUAGGUUUUGGCCUUUCUAGGGAGUUUUUCCUAGCCACCGUGCUUCUACACCUGCAUUGCUUGCUGUUUGGGGUUUUAGGCUGGGUUUCUGUACAGCACUUUGAGAUAUCAGCUGAUGUAAGAAGGGCUAUAUAAAUACAUUUGAUUUGAUUUGAUUACUCCCUGUUCACCCAUGACUUCAUGGCCAGGCACGACUCCAACGCCAUCAUUAAGUUUGCAGACGACACAACAGUGGUAGGCCUGAUCACCUAUAGGGAGGAGGUCAGAGACCUGGCCGUGUGGUGCCAGAAUAACAACCUAUCUCUCAACGUAAUCAAGACUAAGGAGAUGAUUGUGGACUACAGGAAAAGGAGGACCGAGCACAGCCCCAUUCUCAUCGACCUCAAACCAAUUGAGAUGGUUUGGGAUGAGUUGGACCGCAGAGUGAAACAAAAGCUGCUAACAAGUGCUCAGCAUAUGUGGGAACUCCUUCAAGACGGUUUGAAAAUCAUUCCAGGUGAAACUGGUUGAGAGAAUGCCAAGAGUGUGCAAAGCUGUCAUCAAUGCAAAGGGUGGCUACUUUGAAGAAUCUCAAAUAUAAAAUAUAUUUUAAUUUGUUUAACACUUUUUUGGUUACUAUAUGAUUCCGUAUGUGUUAUUUCAUAGUUUUGAUGUCUUCACUGUUAUUCUGCAAUGUAGAAAAUAGUAAAAAUGAAGAAAAACCCUGGAAUGAGUAGGUGUGUCCAAACUUUUAACCGGUACUGUAUAUAAAAUAAAAACAUUAUUUUGUUGGACAUAAGACUGUGAAAUCACCAGGAAAUCAGCUCAAAGUGAUUUUAAUUCAGGAAAUCUAUUCCCA
This 1954-nucleotide long non-coding RNA is filed under the name Salmo salar (Atlantic salmon). Its description in RNAcentral is "lncRNA (ENSSSAG00000103837.1)". Lineage: Eukaryota; Metazoa; Chordata; Actinopteri; Salmoniformes; Salmonidae. The record is from RNAcentral.